This 253-nucleotide ribosomal RNA is filed under the name uncultured bacterium. Its description in RNAcentral is "partial 16S ribosomal RNA". It matches the Rfam family "Bacterial small subunit ribosomal RNA", at positions 524 to 776 of the family's 1533-position model. The record is from RNAcentral.
GACAGAGGAUGCAAGCGUUAUCCGGAAUGAUUGGGCGUAAAGCGUCUGUAGGUGGCUUUUCAAGUCCGCCGUCAAAUCCCAGGGCUCAACCCUGGACAGGCGGUGGAAACUACCAAGCUGGAGUACGGUAGGGGCAGAGGGAAUUUCCGGUGGAGCGGUGAAAUGCGUAGAGAUCUGGAAGAACACCAAAGGCGAAGGCAGCGUCCUGGGAAGUGACUGACGCUCAUGUGCGAAAGCUAGGGGAGCGAACGGG